RNAcentral lists this long non-coding RNA (1083 nucleotides) under Carassius auratus (goldfish). RNAcentral describes it as "lncRNA (ENSCARG00000057928.1)". The record is from RNAcentral. Lineage: Eukaryota; Metazoa; Chordata; Actinopteri; Cypriniformes; Cyprinidae.
AUGGUAUAUUGGUUUGAACGCUGCAAGAGUGGAUGGAAAUCUUUUAUCAAUCAAGCCUCCAAGCAUUUUUCCAGAACCCCAAGGUCUAUUGCUGAGCGAAGGUUUUGGAAAGCUCAUGAAUGGCAGAAUUGGCUUUUAUAUUACAGUUUUCCAGUCCUGAAGGGGAUACUUCCAAACAAGUAUCUUUGCCACUGGGCUUUACUUGUGGAGGGUGUGAGCAUUUUGCUAGGUUCAGACAUUAGCCAAGAGAAUAUUGACCAUGCUCAUCAGGCUGUUGAGCUUUAUGUUGAAUCAGUUCAGUCUUUGUACGGCAAAGACCAGAUGACCUACAAUGUGCAUUCACUCCUACAUUUGACUAAGAGUGUUGAGAAUUUGGGUCCUCUCUGGGCCCAGUCUGCUUUCAUGUUUGAGAACUAUAAUGGCUACUUGCUCAAGCAAGUAAAAAGCAGUAAUGCAGUGCCUCAGCAGCUUUGCAAAAGGGUAGUUUGGUCUCGUGCAUUGCCACACAUAGCUAAGGCCUGUUCAUCUAAUGAUGUCUCACCUGAAAUGAAAUCAUUCUACACAGAAAUGACCUCCAGUAAACAUCAUGUAAGGAACUAUGCUAGAUAUGACAGGGUGACUGCACUUGGAGUGCCAAAGAUUAGGCCAGUGUCUGAAAAUGAUAUGAAUGCAUUGCAUGCAUUGCGAGAUGUACCCGGGACCUCUACUGGCAUGUACUAUAACAGAAUAGUUGUCAAUGGAGAGGUUAUUCACAGCCAAACAUACACCAAGACAAAGAAAAGGAACAACUCUGUUGUGAUGCUGAAAGAUGGCAGCAUUUUCAAGGUGUCAUACUUUCUCUGUGUCAGUGAUGACCAACAUCACCUAUAUGCAGUUGGUAAAUUUGGAAAUUGUACAGUGCAGAAGCUGGUUCGAGGAUGUACUCUUAAAAUAUCAUUGACCUUUAUGAAGACUGUACAUUUUCCUACAGGAUUUGAAAGAGCAGUUGACAGCAAUGACAUUGUGAGACCAUGCGUUUACAUUAAUUGUGAACAGUCUGGUCCUGUUGUUUGUGAACAAAUCAAAACAUAUUAUUGUAAAUGA